This 95-nucleotide ribosomal RNA is filed under the name Escherichia coli. RNAcentral describes it as "partial 16S ribosomal RNA". It matches the Rfam family "Bacterial small subunit ribosomal RNA", at positions 1 to 89 of the family's 1533-position model. The record is from RNAcentral. Lineage: Bacteria; Pseudomonadati; Pseudomonadota; Gammaproteobacteria; Enterobacterales; Enterobacteriaceae.
UUAAAUUGAAGAGUUUGAUCAUGGCUCAGAUUGAAUGCUGGCGGCAGGCCUAACACAUGCAAGUCGAACGGUAACAGGAAACAGCUUGCUGUUUC